Cavia porcellus (domestic guinea pig) is the source of this 178-nucleotide non-coding RNA. Ensembl annotates it as small Cajal body-specific RNA 16. The record is from Ensembl. NCBI's taxonomy places the organism in Eukaryota, Metazoa, Chordata, Mammalia, Rodentia, Caviidae.
GUGGUCUGGGAAAGGCUCCUGUGUGACGAACCCCGCCUGGGGGGGUGCAGCUUCGGACCAGGCAGCCCCACCCUGACCUAAAGUAAAUUCCCAGGGGGAGUUUUCCCUGGGUUUUGCAGUAACAGGUAUGAACACUCUAGCAGCAGUUUGAUGAUCAUGUAUGAUACUGCAAACAGGA